CGCAGGGGCGUCGCAGACGUGAAAUCGGGGUAGGGGCCGCGAGUCCCGGUUGAUAUAAACAACAUACGUUGUUUUCGUGUAUGGAAUGGCGCAAAGAAUGAAGGAAGGGAGAUAAAUAGGAAGAAGUUAAUCAAAAAAUUAUCAAGUUAAUCAUGAAGUGACCUGACCCGGCGAAGGACUCUGGGUACACCUCUGUUAAGGUAGCCAGUCCUCUGUCCACGUUGUUGAGACCUGGGACUGAUUGGUCCACCGUAAGCCUACAACGGUCCCUCAUUCUUCCCCAGGUUAGCCCCGUGUCUUGUAUGCGUUUUCUAAAGAGAAACGUGCUGUUUUCUUUAGAGAAGAUGCGGGUAAGCAAAAGUCUUGCCUUACACCAUCAUCAAAGGUCAGCCUCUACAUUCGCAAAGCCGAUCCCUGGAAUUUAUUUGUAUGCCACCCACUUUCCAGAAGGACCUUGGCAAACCUUAUGAGAGGGAUGGAUUCCAUUUAGAGACAGGCUGGCCUCAAUUUGUCAAGCUUCAGUUCCCCAG
RNAcentral lists this long non-coding RNA (530 nucleotides) under Cricetulus griseus (Chinese hamster). RNAcentral describes it as "lncRNA (ENSCGRG00000025344.1)". The record is from RNAcentral. Lineage: Eukaryota; Metazoa; Chordata; Mammalia; Rodentia; Cricetidae.